CACGUAGGGGGCAAGCGUUGUCCGGAUUCAUUGGGCGUAAAGAGCUCGUAGGCGGUUCGGUAAGUCGGGUGUGAAACCUCCAGGCUCAACCUGGAGACGCCACCCGAUACUGUCGUGACUAGAGUCCAGUAGGGGAGCGUGGAAUUCCUGGUGUAGCGGUGAAAUGCGCAGAUAUCAGGAGGAACACCAGCGGCGAAGGCAAUCCCCUGGGCCUGCACUGACGCUCAUGCACGAAAGCGUGGGGAGCAAACAGG
Molecule: ribosomal RNA, 254 nt
Filed under: uncultured bacterium
Lineage: Bacteria
Description: partial 16S ribosomal RNA
Rfam family: Bacterial small subunit ribosomal RNA
Source: RNAcentral